Molecule: long non-coding RNA, 734 nt
Organism: Hyla sarda
Lineage: Eukaryota; Metazoa; Chordata; Amphibia; Anura; Hylidae
Exons: 3
Source: RefSeq, a predicted model, not a curated record
AUCAUAGCACAUGAGGAUUGAAUAAACACAGCAGGAUGUCAAUCCCAGGACGGCAGACUACACAGAUCAGUGUAUUGGGAAAAACAAUAAAAAGAACAGGGACUCUUCAAAUGAUCCAAAUACUAUUGUUCAACAACCAUCUGGACAAGAUAAACAACCAGCCUCUCAGGAGUCUUUUUUAGAGGCAAUAGGACUGACAAAAGAAUCCGGCGGGGGGGGCGCAAACAUGGACGCAGGCGUAAAAACACGACAUCUGAACAAGUCGACAACAUCUCCGAAACGGAACGACCGUACCAAGAAAAUCAAGAAGUAACUACAGCACGAACUGUGAUUAUCAUGAAUCUACGCUGUACCUGCCACCAACAGAACUGCCUGAAUACCGUGUAUACACUUGAUGUGAAGAGCCAUUUUCAUUUUUAUUUCCACUACUACAUCAAUAGGUCUGAAUUGUUCCAAGGGCGCAGAAUAAGUGGAGGACUAUGACGGAGGGUGAUUGGCAUAUCUGGAGAUGUGCUUGCCUGCCGGCAUCCACGACUCCGGUGACUCCCCGCCCCGGGCGAGUGGCGUUCAUUCAUCACACGCACCGGAGUGAGCACCAUUACUCCGUCUCUGUUACCUCUUUGAGCCAUGCCAGCUCUACUUGCUAUAUCCCUGUAAGCUGAACGAGGGACCAUUGACAUUACCACUCAUUAAAAUGCUUAAGAUUCAUGGAGUAUGGGCAAGUUUUUCCCAUA